This 496-nucleotide ribosomal RNA is filed under the name uncultured bacterium. Its description in RNAcentral is "partial 16S ribosomal RNA". It matches the Rfam family "Bacterial small subunit ribosomal RNA", at positions 29 to 507 of the family's 1533-position model. The record is from RNAcentral.
AUGAACGCUGGCGGCGUGCCUCAUACAUGCAAGUCGAGCGAACAGACGAGGAGCUUGCUCCUCUGACGUUAGCGGCGGACGGGUGAGUAACACGUGGAUAACCUACCUAUAAGACUGGGAUAACUUCGGGAAACCGGAGCUAAUACCGGAUAAUAUAUUGAACCGCAUGGUUCAAUAGUGAAAGACGGUUUUGCUGUCACUUAUAGAUGGAUCCGCGCCGCAUUAGCUAGUUGGUAAGGUAACGGCUUACCAAGGCAACGAUGCGUAGCCGACCUGAGAGGGUGAUCGGCCACACUGGAACUGAGACACGGUCCAGACUCCUACGGGAGGCAGCAGUAGGGAAUCUUCCGCAAUGGGCGAAAGCCUGACGGAGCAACGCCGCGUGAGUGAUGAAGGUCUUCGGAUCGUAAAACUCUGUUAUUAGAGAAGAACAAAUGUGUAAGUAACUAUGCACGUCUUGACGGUACCUAAUCAGAAAGCCACGGCUAACUACGUG